Molecule: RNA transcript, 942 nt
Organism: Phragmites australis (common reed)
Lineage: Eukaryota; Viridiplantae; Streptophyta; Magnoliopsida; Poales; Poaceae
Exons: 3
Source: RefSeq, a predicted model, not a curated record
UCCAACAUCUACUGCGCCCUGCCAUUUUGUGCCCCAGGUUUGCUUUAGCUGUUCAGGUAUACUAAUGGCCCCUGCGCUUGAGUAAUAAUUAAAUAAAGAAAAUAUAUUUCCUCCGUUCCUUCUUCUCAGAUGUAAAAUUCGGUCCUCAAAUAAUUUUACUGCGACGGACCGUGGGGAUGCGAAUAUAAUUGAUUAUUACAAAGCUCAUUGUAACAUGAGUGCAUGUAUGUUGCUGCUUGUGUACGUGCAAGAAAUUUCAAAGCUCUAUCCGACUCCUAUCUGCCAUUCCUUUUGUCAACUAGUCUAUACCUAUUUCAUUUACAAGUUAUAACCAUGCCCCUAUUUCAUUCUUCUUUGUCUUCCCGAUUAGUACAUGUUCAUGUUUUAUCUCCCUGGAUAUAACUUAGCAAAGCCAUGUGAUCAAGUUAAAACUAUGUGACAACAAUAUCUUUUCCUUUUUUCCAUUUAUUCAUCAGGUUAAGUUCUGGGCUAAGGUACAUGAUCUGAACAACCCUAGAGAGCUAACAAUGAGCUCGAUGUCAAUCAUUUCAUUAGUCGCUUUCCAUUUGCAGACCCGACAUCCUCCAAUAUUUCCACCGUUCUCUGCCUUGUUAAAAGAUGGUUUAGAUGUUGCAAGUGUUGAGAGGAAUAUCGGACUGUUUAAGGGAUUUGGGAGCAGCAAUACGGAAUCUGUAGCUGAACUGUUUGCAUCAUUGAUGAGUAAAGUGAGUAACUUUAUGGUUCACAUUCUACUUAUGUUUGCGGGGCAAGUUAUUUUUUACAUUUGGAUCUAUAAGAACGUGUCUUAUUAUUGUUGCAGUGCAAGUUAGUUUUCAUAUUUGGUUCUAUAAGAACAUGUCUUAUGAUCAUUUCUUAGUAUAUUCAAUCAGCUCUUCUUCGCACCCACACGUUUAGUAAAAUACUUAAGCUCUUUUUUAAAAA